This is a long non-coding RNA of Acipenser ruthenus (sterlet), 1568 nucleotides long. RefSeq lists it as uncharacterized. The record is from RefSeq and is a predicted model, not a curated record. NCBI's taxonomy places the organism in Eukaryota, Metazoa, Chordata, Actinopteri, Acipenseriformes, Acipenseridae. The transcript has 4 exons.
CAGAUAUUUGGGUUGGCUGCUUCGGGUCAGGUUGGCAUGCUUUCCGUAAUUGGAGGUGGAAACCUCAAAGCUACUACCUGGAGGCUGACGAGCUCCACAAUAUCCAGUGAUUUACCCGUGCAGUUCAACUGGGCUGGGUGAGGGGUCAAAAGAGCUUUCAAGGAUCUUCUUCUGAAGAACAUCAUUUUCAGGUGACCGCCUUUUCAAAAUUCAAAAACGGUACCCCUGUGUGACAGGAUAGCGUGUGUGAUGACGUCAGGCCAGAAGCAGGAACUGAAACAGAUACUGCAGAUAUCUUCGAGAGUUUCCUGGAUCACCCCCCGCUGAUCCUGCCUAAUGAGGUGUCUCAGCUGGGGUUGGGAGAGCCAAUCACGUCGCAGGAGCUGCAGCAGGAAGUGCAGAGGAUCUGAGCCUUCCUAUUGGACCUGGAACAGGAAGCCCUGCCGGCCAAUCAGAGGAUACAGCUGUGAGAAGAGAGCCAAUCGGAGCAGUGGGCGACAGAGGCAGCCAAUCAGGAAGGAGAAUGUGGAUUCUGGGGAUAAAGGGGGUGCCUGUCUGUACAUCCGUCUGUCUGUCAACAUGUAUAUGGAGAACCACUGAUCCCAUUGUCAUGACACUGGCUGUUAACAUUAUUUAGAGAAGCGCUGAUCCCAUUGUCAUGACACUGGCUAUUCACAUUAUCUAGCAGAAGAUAUUGAGAAUAUCAGAUUGUGGGGAUAUAGGGGGUAUCUGUCUGUCUGUCCAUACAUCCGCCCACCAGUCUCACAUUUUUGCAUAUGUCAGGAGAAACGCUUAUCAAUUUCCAUUAAACUCUUCAUUGUCAUUUCUUAUCCUGCACUGUUCUGUACAUGCUGUUGAUACACGUGACGGACAUUGACGUUUUCCUCUCACUGAGAGCUCUGAUUGUGAAUGUGCAGCCGUGGCGAUGGGGAGUGGAGGUAACUGACAGGCUGGUUUAUGUUGCUGGGAUGGGGAGUUGAGGUCACUGACAGGCUGGUGUAUAUUGCUGGGAUGGGGGGUGGAUGAUGUCACUGACAGGCUGGUUUAUAUUGCUGGGAUGGAUGAUGUCACUGACAGGCUGGUUUAUAUUGCUGGGAUGGGGGAUGGAUGAUGUCACUGACAGGCUGGUUUAUGUUGCUGGGAUGGGGGAUGGAUGAUGUCACUGACAGGCUGGUUUAUAUUGCUGGGAUGGGGGGUGGAUGAUGUCACUGACAGGCUGGUUUAUAUUGGUGGGAUGGGGGGUGGAUGAUGUCACUGACAGGUUGGUUUAUGUUGCUGGGAUGGGGGGUGGAUGAUGUCACUGACAGGCUGGUUUAUGUUGCUGGGAUGGGGGAUGGAUGAUGUCACUGACAGGCUGGUUUAUAUUGCUGAGAUGGGGGGUGGAUGAUGUCACUGACAGGCUGGUUUAUAUUGCUGAGAUGAUGGAUGGAUGUCACUGACAGGCUGGUUUAUAUUAACCUUUUGUAUUUUAAUAGCCUGUAGCUUUACCCUGAGCAUUGUAAACGUUUAUCAAUACUUUGUAAUCUUGCUAUUAGCUUAAAUAAAACUGUUACUUGUUAAUUCAAAAA